GUGAUACUCCCUCCGUCCGGAAAUACUUGUCGUGGAAAUGGAUACAAAUGGAUGUAUUUAAAACUAAAAUACAUCUAGAUACAUCCAUUCCUCGGACAAGUAUUUCCAGAGUGAGGGAGUACUAU
Molecule: non-coding RNA, 125 nt
Organism: Triticum aestivum (bread wheat)
Lineage: Eukaryota; Viridiplantae; Streptophyta; Magnoliopsida; Poales; Poaceae
Source: Rfam